GGAGGGGUGGCCGAGUGGUUUAAGGCGCACGCUUGGAAAGCGUGUGUGCGUUAACGCGUACCGCGGGUUCGAAUCCCGCCCCCUCCGCCA
RNAcentral lists this transfer RNA (90 nucleotides) under Rhodospirillaceae bacterium. Its description in RNAcentral is "tRNA-Ser". It matches the Rfam family "tRNA". From Rfam's summary of the family: Transfer RNA (tRNA) molecules are approximately 80 nucleotides in length. Their secondary structure includes four short double-helical elements and three loops (D, anti-codon, and T loops). Further hydrogen bonds mediate the characteristic L-shaped molecular structure. tRNAs have two regions of fundamental functional importance: the anti-codon, which is responsible for specific mRNA codon recognition, and the 3' end, to which the tRNAs corresponding amino acid is attached (by aminoacyl-tRNA synthetases). tRNAs cope with the degeneracy of the genetic code in two manners: having more than one tRNA (with a specific anti-codon) for a particular amino acid; and 'wobble' base-pairing, i.e. permitting non-standard base-pairing at the 3rd anti-codon position. Lineage: Bacteria; Pseudomonadati; Pseudomonadota; Alphaproteobacteria; Rhodospirillales; Rhodospirillaceae. RNAcentral also lists the same sequence under 1 other name. The record is from RNAcentral.